AUAAGUUGAUGCUUUCAAUUUUGUUUUUAUUAGAGAAUGAGACAUUUAAAUGGCCAACCAAUUUACAAUAUCUAGACUUGAGUUCAAACCGUUUGAGCAACAAAUCUCUUUCAUCUCUGAAUGACCUUCCACAUCUCCAAUAUCUUGAUUUAAGUCAAAAUCAAUUAGAAGGAGCACUAGACAUAAGAGGUAGGUAUUUUUUAUCCAUUAUUUUAGGACAUUCAUUAUUUAUUCUAAUGUUUUAGAAUUAAUAUUUAAUUAUUCAUUUACUUUGCAUAAUGAUACAACAUUAUAGAUAUAUUAGGGUAAAUUAAUAUAAACAUCCAUAUCAAUAGAAAUAUACUUUAUAUUCAUGUAAACAUAUUCUUUUUAUAUCAAUACCACUCUCAUCUUAACAAUUACAUUUUCAUACCAAACAAGUUGCACAAAAAAAUUACUAUUGAAUUACUUUCAUCUAAGAUAUAUCAGAAUAACAUUUUAGGCUUAACUUUCUCAACUAUUAAGAAUAAAAUAUACUUAUAAUCCAUUAUCAUUUCUAUAUAAUGAAUUAUGUUUAUUAAUAAUAAACAUAAAGAUCUACGCAUGCUCCUUAUCCUUAGUGAAUAUUGAUAAGUUGAUGUUUUCAAUUUUAUUUUUAUCAGAGAAUGAGACAUUUAAAUGGCCAACCAAUUUACAACAUCUAGAACUGGGUGAGAACAGUUUGAGCAACGAAUUUCUUUCAUCUCUGAAGAACCUUCCACAUCUCCAAUAUCUUGAUUUACGCUACAAUCAAUUAGAAGGAGCUGUAGAUAUAAGCGGUCAGUAUUUUAAUUUUUUAUUUUAUUAAAAUAUUA
This 833-nucleotide long non-coding RNA is filed under the name Vigna radiata. RNAcentral describes it as "long non-coding RNA (VRAD_LNC015196)". The record is from RNAcentral. Lineage: Eukaryota; Viridiplantae; Streptophyta; Magnoliopsida; Fabales; Fabaceae.